RNAcentral lists this ribosomal RNA (255 nucleotides) under uncultured bacterium. Its description in RNAcentral is "partial 16S ribosomal RNA". It matches the Rfam family "Bacterial small subunit ribosomal RNA", at positions 524 to 776 of the family's 1533-position model. The record is from RNAcentral.
UACGAACCGUACAAACGUUAUUCGGAAUUACUGGGCUUAAAGGGUGCGUAGGCGGCCAAGUAAGUGAGGUGUGAAAUCCCUCGGCUCAACCGAGGAACUGCGCUUCAUACUGCUUGGCGUUGAGGGGGACGAGGGGUAAGCGGAACUGAUGGUGGAGCGGUGAAAUGCGUUGAUAUCAUCAGGAACACCGGUGGCGAAAGCGGCUUACUGGGUCUCUUCUGACGCUGAGGUACGAAAGCUAGGGGAGCGAACGGG